UUGUGUCAUUCUUCAAAGUGGUUGUGAAAUGUUUGCCUUUUUAUGCCUAUUCAUAUCACAGCCAGCUUUGAGGAGCGACACGA
Molecule: microRNA precursor, 83 nt
Filed under: Drosophila persimilis
Lineage: Eukaryota; Metazoa; Arthropoda; Insecta; Diptera; Drosophilidae
Also listed under: 2 other names
Description: microRNA dpe-mir-2b precursor
Gene: dpe-mir-2b
Rfam family: mir-2 microRNA precursor family
About the family: The miRNAs are transcribed as ~70nt precursors (modelled here) and subsequently processed by the Dicer enzyme to give a ~22nt product. In this case the mature sequence comes from the 3' arm of the precursor. The extents of the hairpin precursors are not generally known and are estimated based on hairpin prediction.
Source: miRBase by way of RNAcentral